UAUGGGGGGGACCAUCCUCCAAGGCUAAAUACUCCUGACUGACCGAUAGUGAACAAGUACCGUGAGGGAAAAGGCGAAAAGAACCGUGGUGAACGGAGUGAAAUAGAACCUGAAACCGUAUGCAUACAAGCAGUAGGAGCACCCCAUGUGGUGUGACUGCGUACCUUUUGUAUAAUGGGUCAGCGACUUAUUCUCAGUAGCAAGGUUAACCGAAUAGGGGAGCCGUAGAGAAAUCGAGUCUGAAUAGGGCGUUAAGUUGCUGGGGAGUAGACCCGAACCGGGUGAUCUAUCCAUGAGCAGGGUGAAGGUUCAGUAACAUGAACUGGAGGCCCGAACCCACCGUCGUUGAAAAGCCGGGGGAUGACUUGUGGAUAGGGGUGAAAGGCUAAUCAAACUCGGUGAUAGCUGGUUCUCCCCGAAGCUAUUUAGGUAGCGCCUCGGA
Molecule: ribosomal RNA, 442 nt
Filed under: uncultured bacterium
Lineage: Bacteria
Description: bacterial LSU rRNA
Rfam family: Bacterial large subunit ribosomal RNA
Source: RNAcentral